CAAACGUUAGUCGUACUUUAAACAAAUGCUUCUUUGAUCAACACAAAGAUAUGGGGCCUGACAAGUCUCCCUGUUGGUUAAAGACGCCUGAACGCUUACAGAUAUUCAGAGAUUUCUUAGAAAUAAGAAACAAGGGCCACUCUGUAGACUGGUAUUCAUAUGUCAAAAGAAAGGAGAAAUAGAUCUUCGCCAGCGUACACAGGGGAGACUACUGACAUUGAUGUUAAUUCAAAGAAGCAAAAGAUUUAAGAAAAGACGUCGGCGUCCACUAUCAGCGUUUUGAGAAGCCCUGGUAUACAGCCAUCAGUCAAGUACAGAUAACUCUAUAAACACUUCUAUCAAGAAUCCAAUCCAAGUUUUGAACAAUCAACUUCAAACAAAAAAAUUUAAAGAUGCAAGAGACUCCCCCCCC
Biomphalaria glabrata is the source of this 412-nucleotide long non-coding RNA. RefSeq lists it as uncharacterized. The record is from RefSeq and is a predicted model, not a curated record. NCBI's taxonomy places the organism in Eukaryota, Metazoa, Mollusca, Gastropoda, Planorbidae. The transcript has 3 exons.